Molecule: long non-coding RNA, 265 nt
Filed under: Elaeis guineensis (African oil palm)
Lineage: Eukaryota; Viridiplantae; Streptophyta; Magnoliopsida; Arecales; Arecaceae
Description: long non-coding RNA (EGUI_LNC058686)
Source: RNAcentral
GUAUCCACAUGAGGCUUCAAUCUAAUGAGAAGCUUCUUGAUCUCAUCAGGGUCUUAGCUUCUUUACAGAGAUCACAUCUUGAUGGUUGAAAACUCUUCGCUUCUCUUAAGACUCUCUUAGAGAAAAAGAAGAGAAUAGGAGGAUGAUGAUCUCUACGCUAGAGAUCAUAAAAAGAAUACUUUCUUCUCUUUCUUCUUAAAACCCAUGCAUAAAAAUUUUUAUGCUAGAGAUCUAAGAAUAUAUAUCCAACUCUUGGACAAAGGGG